UUGAUUUGAACUGUAACUAGUAAGUCAUCAGAGAUUACAAUACUUAGAAAGAGGCGGGAAAUUACGUUAUCUCAAUUAUAUAGAAUGUCUACAACUUCAGUUUGUAUCUGACAUUAUGCCCGAUGUGUUUAUUUUGAACUCCUUCUACAGGGAAGUUUUGAUUUGUUGGGAAGAUUCCAAAUGGAGUUCAUAUCUGUUUGUGUGCGUGCGUUGUAAACUUCGAAGGAUUUCAGCCUGAUUUGCAUGGCUCUUGAAGACGCAAUCACAGAAAUAUCGAAAUAUCGAUUCGAGGAGAUGACAGUGAUGAUAGUCGUGGAGCGUACAAAAGAUUAAAUAAAAGCAUAUUAAAUAAUUAUGUACAAUGAUUGUAACAAGUCAGUUUAGUGCAAAGUGUAUAUUACCAUUCUUUUGACUUCUUCUCUGGCCUGGUCCAAUUGCUUAUAUGAUCUGGAUGCUUCUUGUUGCAAGCAUAAUGUACCUGAUGCAUUAUUUUCAUCUGAUGGGCAAUGACAUAGAUCAUUCAUUUAUAUUUGUAAGAACAAUUCUUAGUCCAGUUGGUGCCCAUUGCAGUGAUUCUUAGAGCGUGUGGC
This 590-nucleotide long non-coding RNA is filed under the name Triticum aestivum (bread wheat). RNAcentral describes it as "long non-coding RNA (TAES_LNC005661)". Lineage: Eukaryota; Viridiplantae; Streptophyta; Magnoliopsida; Poales; Poaceae. The record is from RNAcentral.